Molecule: long non-coding RNA, 635 nt
Organism: Salvelinus fontinalis (brook trout)
Lineage: Eukaryota; Metazoa; Chordata; Actinopteri; Salmoniformes; Salmonidae
Exons: 4
Source: RefSeq, a predicted model, not a curated record
AUGAGACAGGAUUAUGAAUAGUUGAACACAGUGUGAUACAUGAUCUAUAUCAGGCUGCCUUUUGCCUUUGCCCACUCUAUUUCUCUCUUCUGUUCACUUAGUGAGAGACGGAUUAUAUUAUGCCUGAUUAUAUUGAGGAGUGGACCAGCACUGGAGAUAACCCUGUACAGACACAACAUCUGACUAUAACCUCUACCCUCUCUACCUCCAGCUAUAGUCGAGUCCUACCAGUCCACGGCCAAGGGACGACCGGCCACACGUUAAAGGCUACGUACAAAACCUGGUGGAUUUGUUGUUCAGCAGCAUCUGGGAACCAUAUCAGGAGCUGUUACAGAAGGCUGAGGCAGUGGCCAGACACCAGUCCUGCAUCAGGGAGCUGGGUCAGAUAUACUGUAGAAGCUGAAGUCGGGCUCCUUCAUGACCAGUAUCUGUGAUUAGAGGGGCAUGGAACUGGUCUAUGCUGCCAUGCCCAUCAGGCAUUGGCCAACACCUCAGAAGGGACAAAAGAUGCAGGACAGAAGAGAUGCUUUUGAAAUGGAGUCCAAUGACUGAAAUACUUCAUACUGGUUCAUACUGAUGUCUGAAUUGGGAAAGACAUUGAACUCAGCAUUAAAAUAAUACAAGACACAUCUUUA